AUUGAACGCUGGCGGCAGGCCUAACACAUGCAAGUCGAACGAGUGGCGGACGGGUGAGUAAUGUCUGGGAAACUGCCCGAUGGAGGGGGAUAACUACUGGAAACGGUAGCUAAUACCGCAUACUAUCGGAUGUGCCCAUAUGGGAUUAGCUAGUAGGUGGGGUAAAGGCUAACCUAGGCGACGAUCUCUAGCUGGUCUGAGAGGAUGACCAGCCACACUGGAACUGAGACACGGCCCAGACUCCAACGGGAGGCAGCAGUGGGGAAUAUUGCACAAUGAGCGCAGGCCUGAUGCAGCCAUGCCGCGUAUAUGAAGAAGGCCUUCGGGUUGUAAAGUACUUUCAGCGGGGAGGCGUGACCCGCAGAAGAAGCACCGGCUAACUCCGUGCCAGCAGCCGCGGUAAUUC
This 406-nucleotide ribosomal RNA is filed under the name uncultured bacterium. Its description in RNAcentral is "partial 16S ribosomal RNA". It matches the Rfam family "Bacterial small subunit ribosomal RNA", at positions 30 to 526 of the family's 1533-position model. The record is from RNAcentral.